Podarcis lilfordi (Lilford's wall lizard) is the source of this 72-nucleotide non-coding RNA. The record is from the annotation of a GenBank genome assembly. Lineage: Eukaryota; Metazoa; Chordata; Lepidosauria; Squamata; Lacertidae.
AGCAGUAUAGUUUAGUGGUAAAAGCGAUGAGCUAGGACCUGAGAGGCCAGGGUUCAAAUCCCCACUCUGCCA